GGGAUAACUUCAGGAAACUGGGGCUAAUACCGGAUAGGAGCUCCUGCUGCAUGGUGGGGGUUGGAGAGUUUCGGCGGUUGGGGAUGGACUCGCGGCUUAUCAGCUUGUUGGUGGGGUAGUGGCUUACCAAGGCUUUGACGGGUAGCCGGCCUGAGAGGGUGACCGGCCACAUUGGGACUGAGAUACGGCCCAGACUCCUACGGGAGGCAGCAGUGGGGAAUAUUGCACAAUGGGUGGAAGCCUGAUGCAGCAACGCCGUGUGCGGGAUGACGGCCUUCGGGUUGUAAACCGCUUUCGCUCAUGACGAAGCUUUGUGUGACGGUAGUGGGUAAAGAAGCACCGGCUAACUACGUGCCAGCAGCCGCGGUGAUACGUAGGGUGCGAGCGUUGUCCGGAUUUAUUGGGCGUAAAGGGCUCGUAGGUGGUUGAUCGCGUCGGAAGUGUAAUCUUGGGGCUUAACCCUGAGCGUGCUUUUGAUACGGGUUGACUUGAGGAAGGUAGGGGAGAAUGGAAUUCCUGGUGGAGCGGUGGAAUGCGCAGAUAUCAGGAGGAACACCGGUGGCGAAGGCGGUUCUCUGGGCCUUUCCUGGCGCCGAGGAGCGAAAGCGUGGGGAGCGAACAGGCUUAGAUACCCUGGUAGUCCACGCUGUAAACGGUGGGUACUAGGUGUGGGGUCCAUUCCACGGGUUCCGUGCCGUAGCUAACGCUUUAAGUACCCCGCC
RNAcentral lists this ribosomal RNA (722 nucleotides) under uncultured Actinomycetes bacterium. RNAcentral's name for it is "bacterial SSU rRNA". It matches the Rfam family "Bacterial small subunit ribosomal RNA", at positions 140 to 873 of the family's 1533-position model. Lineage: Bacteria; Bacillati; Actinomycetota; Actinomycetes. The record is from RNAcentral.